Long non-coding RNA from Phyllostomus hastatus (greater spear-nosed bat), 2321 nucleotides. RefSeq lists it as uncharacterized. NCBI's taxonomy places the organism in Eukaryota, Metazoa, Chordata, Mammalia, Chiroptera, Phyllostomidae. The transcript has 5 exons. The record is from RefSeq and is a predicted model, not a curated record.
UUCAUAUAUUGGGUUCUUUUUGUUUCCCCUCAUUCCUAGUUUGCUUUGAUUUCUUCCUUCUUUUAAGCCACAAACGUUGAGACUGGCGGAAACAGCUGGUACACGUCUUACACGUCCUCCCGAGAGACCGGAAACCUCUGUGGGGUUGGCACAAACUGGUUGCUGAGGGAAGCUGGACCUGGCCGGGGAGGCAAACAGAGCCGGGGAGUGGCAUUGGAGGUGCUGCAAGGGAAGGCUGGGUUAAUGGCACUUCCAAACUGGGAUCCAAAGGAAACGGUCAUGGGCCCAGCCUGGGGACACACACAAGAAGCCAGGAGCAGCUUGUUCUUAGACAUACGUUCACCUCAUCUGGACAGGGAGACAGAUGACUUCGUGGGAGAGCAGUUGGAAGAAUGCCCAGAGGCUUGUGAAGAUGAAGAAACUGGGACACUGAAAAGUGACAUGGCUUUGGAAGAUCACACAACUAGUUGGUGGCAGAAGAGCAACAUCUGGCCCUUUCAUCCACUCCAAAACACUUUUUGUUCUCCUGGGAAGUACCAGGCAGGGUGCUUGACCAAACAAGCAACACAUUCUGGCUCACCAGAAGCAUGCAGCACACACGAGAGAAGGGCACAUAAACCCUUGCUUGCCCCAUGUAAUGACUGUUAAGACUAAGUCAAGUACAGGAAGCAUGGAGGAGGGCUUCUUCUGGAAUUCCUAAAAGGAGAUGGAGGUGGUUGAUUCAAGAAGGGUUCUUGGAGGAGAUGAUAGAGUCUCAUGUCUUUGCCCUGCCCUUAGAGAUAUUUCUUGACACCUGAGCUUACACAGGAUACCUGAGAGUUUGUGGGAGCCAGCAGAGAUUUCCUCAUGGACAAGGCCCAGUUCCAAGGUUAGAAAGAAACUCCCUAUCAUCUGACUGUUUUCCACACCAGCAUAGUAGAUGAAAAGUUUGGGAGGGCUCCUUGGUAAAGAGGAAUAGGGAGAGAAAAAAACAGAUCCCAACUCAAAAGUACUUCCAACCUUUUGGUCUUAAGACAGGUGCUAAAAGUUGGCAUCUGGGUGAUACAGAAGUGGGAAGGAGGGGUUAGAGAAUGGUGGGAGGAGGAGAGCACCUUUUGCUUUCUGCUUUAAACCACCUUCCUGGAUCUGAGGUGCUCCUAGCUUCCUCACUGCCAGUCACCCUGGCUUUGACCCCUGCUCCCAACCUUCAGACAUAGUCUCACUUCUCCUUCCCCCUGCCUGGCCUGGGACCUCUGUCCCUGGUGGAACGCAGGUCACUCCACUCAUCUCCAGGAUCCCCUAUGAACUGGUUUCUACAAUGACUGAAAGAGCACAGGUAAUUAAGGACUAGAACUAAGAGAGACAGACCAGUCCUUCCUCCUCCAGCAGUGUGUUCCGGGAGGCAGGUCCUUCCAGUGUGUGUUGGGGGAUGGGUGCUCCAAAGACCUGCUUUAGUCACAUGAUGUGGGGACAAAUACCUACCUUUUACCUUGAGAAAGCUCUAAAUCAGAGCAGUUAUUGACAUGCAGGGUUUCACAUGAGGUACUGAGCAUUCUACAUAAUAAUGUAAAAGUCAGUUUCAAUGUGGAGUGGAUGCAAUUCUUUAUAAAUUACCGUGCUGUUUACCAAUUCAGGGCUCAUCUAUUGUAGCAACCCCUAAACUUCAGUGUGCAUUUUAAUCACCAGGGGUGGGCAACUGAUUACCAAUGCAGAUUCCAGGACCUCACCCCCAGAAUCUUCCAUCUGAUACAUCUGGGGUGGGGCCCAGGUUUCUGUAUUUUUAAUUAAUAGCCGCAGACUGAUGGAUUUCACUUAGAAACCUUUCUGAAAGCUUUCUGAAAAAUAGUCUGUGGGAGCCAGGCAGUGGCUGACUGAGUGGCUGAGGGCUGGCAGUGAGGUAGCUUCCCCAAUAUGCUCUGCAACCUCCUUCCACCCCCAUUCUUCAAGAAGGGCAGUUCAUGUUUCCUCAGUUGAGGGUAAAGACUCAGAAAGUGCAUCUUCAAGAAAAGAGCCGCUAGCCCCCUCCUGUGGCAUGAUCAUGGUCUAAUGGGGCCCAGGACUUGAGAGAGAGGAGAUACAAAGCUGACGUUAAGGAGGAUAAGCACACCCACAUCAGGGUGCUCAAGGGAAAGGUGCAACCCAAAAGGGAGUCCUUGUGAAGCGUCUGCUGAUGGCUGCUAAGACUACUGGCUGGAAUGCAGAUGUGAUGGCUGGGGCUGCAGCAGCCACCUGGAUUGUGACAUGGAAGCCACAGUCUGAGACAGAAGUCAGAAACUUAAAGCACCUGGCUGAUCCUGGACUAACUACCCCAGGCUUUCUUUUACAUGAGAAAUAAAGCUCUA